CCGAGUUUACAACUCCCAAACCCCUGUGAACACACCUAUACGUUGCCUCGGCGGAUCAGCCCGCGCCCCGUAAAAAGGGACGGCCCGCCCGAGGACCCCUAAACUCUGUUUUUAGUGGAACUUCUGAGUAAAACAAACAAAUAAAUCA
This 148-nucleotide unclassified non-coding RNA is filed under the name soil metagenome. RNAcentral's name for it is "partial internal transcribed spacer 1". The record is from RNAcentral.